AGCGAACGCUGGCGGCAGGCCUAACACAUGCAAGUCGAACGGAUCCUUCGGGAUUAGUGGCGGACGGGUGAGUAACACGUGGGAACGUGCCCUUUGGUUCGGAACAACUCAGGGAAACUUGAGCUAAUACCGGAUGUGCCCUUCGGGGGAAAGAUUUAUCGCCAUUGGAGCGGCCCGCGUCUGAUUAGCUAGUUGGUGAGGUAAAGGCUCACCAAGGCGACGAUCAGUAGCUGGUCUGAGAGGAUGAUCAGCCACAUUGGGACUGAGACACGGCCCAAACUCCUACGGGAGGCAGCAGUGGGGAAUCUUGCGCAAUGGGCGAGAGCCUGACGCAGCCAUGCCGCGUGAAUGAUGAAGGUCUUAGGAUUGUAAAAUUCUUUCACCGGGGACGAUAAUGGCGGUACCCGGAGAAGAAGCCCCGGCUAACUUCGUGCCAGCCGCCGCAGUAA
RNAcentral lists this ribosomal RNA (449 nucleotides) under uncultured bacterium. RNAcentral describes it as "partial 16S ribosomal RNA". It matches the Rfam family "Bacterial small subunit ribosomal RNA", at positions 29 to 523 of the family's 1533-position model. The record is from RNAcentral.